GAAGGAGGGAAGUGGCCCGUCUUCAGCUCCUGAGCAACUUCGGCGCUUCGGCUCCCGUACUGCUGACUAUUCGGAUCUUUAGGGCAGAACACGAGACGGUCAACUCGCUGCUCCGCGGACCUGACUGCGUUCUGAGAGAAAGUUUCCCAACCCUGGUCUACAAUAUAGUUGGAUUCGACUACAAAGGAUCUGGGCUAGGAAGAAGGAAGUAUGACUGCCUGGUAAGGAAAGGAAAAGAAAGCGGGAAACACUGGAAAAAUAAACGAGUUCUUUCCUGUGAAGCCAAGGCCAUCUGCAUCAGGCACAUUGGAAGAUUGGACAUGCUUAAGAAACCUCGAGGCCAACGCUGAUAUUCAACAUCAACACCCUUCUUGCUAGUCUAACCUAUCUACAGAAACACAAGAAAAAAAAUUUCCAUGUAAAAAAUGGUAAACGGCAGUUGAAGAAUAUCAACAAUUAUUGACAGUGAGACUUUUGAAAGGCUGCAAAUGAAUCAAAAAAAAAAAAAAAAAAAAGCCAGAGAAGAAAAGAAGCAUCCAUAAUAUAGUCUCAUCUUCCGUAACUCUUACUACCAACGUGCACGACUCAGGUAAACAACACAGAGAUCAUCUCAUACAAGCACAAAGGAAGCAUGAAAAAAGCUGAACCUGAGCAUCAGGAGACCCUCUGAGACUUUGCCCUGGCUGUUCCGCUAACUGCCUAUGUGUGAUGAGUUGUCAAGUCUCCAGGGUCCCUCAACACUUGGAAUAAGGAAAUAGGAUCUUUCCCUCUGAGAGGAGGCAGAAAGAAAUACAGCAAUGAAGAAAACAGACCAAAAGGCCUGCCCUCAUCAGCACAGAGGAGGAAAAACAGCUCAGAGAAAGAAUGACUUGGGCUUAGCCUAGAAGAUGUGUUGGCUGUGAACGUACUAGUGGAGAAAGCAGGGAUUAGUUGGCAAACUACUGCGGCCUCUACAGCACAGCCUGCGACCUGUUUCUUUUCAAGCUAAGAAUGUAACAUCAAGAGUAGCAUGCUCUACUCACUGGAACCAGCCAGGAGCCCGUUUUUACAUAUUUUAAAAGGAGAGAGAGAAGGAGGAGAGGAAGAGGAGAAUUAUAAAUAUGAUGAUCUGAACAACCUUGAAGGAGGAGAAAAUGUUCAAGACAAGCAAGCAGGCCAGGCUGUAAAAGGUGCGUUUGUGGCCCGUUGAGGAAGCCACACGGAGCCUGGGACGACUGGAGAGCCAUAUUCACUGGGAAGGGUAGUGAAAAGACGAAGACAGGCGAGAGACUACAGGCAAGGCUGCUGGAGUUGACGGAUUUUUUUUUCUCUGUAGGUGAUGGGAUGGCCUUGAUGGAGAGUGAAUUCAUAGGAAAUUCACUUCUGGAAAGUUGCUUCUCACACUUGAAAAAUAUGUGCUUAAUCUUGAAAGAGCUUGAAGAAGUGUUUUGAUGCCCACAACAAGAGCAGAACUGUAGAGUAUCUUCCAAAAGCAACUUUUGAAAGAGUGGGGGAGAGGCAGAGAGCGAGGGAGACAGAAUCUGAAGCAGGCUCCGGGCUCUUAGCUGUCAGCACAGAGCCCAACGCGGGGCUCGAACUCACGAACCUUGAGAUCAUGACCUGGGCUGAAGUCAGAUGCUUAACUGACUGAGCUACCCAGGCACCCCCCAAAAGGAACUUUUAAAGAAAACGUCAGCCUUUUUAUAAAAGCUCCACCCAAGCAACCUUAGAAACUCUCUUUUAGGACAUGGACCAUAUCAAACACUUGAGAUCUCCGGGUGGAUUUUAAGCACAUGUUUGCUGGAAGGGAAAUCUCAUUUGUAUCCAAUCCAAGUUCUGGUGUAACUUUUUGCUGCUGUUACCCUCAACAUUUUUUAAUGUCUAUUUAUUUAUUUCUGAGAGAGAAGAGAGAGGCCGUGGGAGGAGGAGCAGAGAGAGACAGAGAAUCCCAAGCAGGCUCCAUGCUAUCAGCUUAGAGCCUGAUGCAGGGCUCAAACUCACGGACCGUGAGAUCAUGAUCUGAGCUGAAAUCAAGCACAACUGAAUGAGCUACUCAUGUGCCCCUCCGUUUUUUUUCUUUAGGAGAGAAAAUGGAAUUUUAUUUGCAAAUUUUUUUCUGAGGUGUAACUGUAACAUGAGACAUGAACUAAAUGAGGAAUCUGACUGAACAUGGGAAGAAGGCUGGGGCCCAGAGGCAUAAAGGACUGGUUUGCUUGGGAGUUUACUGCUGUGACAGCUAGAACAAAGGCAGAAUGGAAACCUGAGCCAAUUGAAAGUUAAAUAACAAGACAAACUUUUACAGUAAAAUGAGAAAGCCUUUGAGAAUGGAAAAGGAUGUCUAAAGAGUUGGCCCUAGAGGACAGCACCCUAGUAAAAAAAAAAAAAAAAAAAAAAAAAAAAAA
Long non-coding RNA from Felis catus (domestic cat), 2381 nucleotides. RefSeq lists it as uncharacterized. The transcript has 7 exons. Lineage: Eukaryota; Metazoa; Chordata; Mammalia; Carnivora; Felidae. The record is from RefSeq and is a predicted model, not a curated record.